This 1693-nucleotide long non-coding RNA is filed under the name Marmota monax (woodchuck). Lineage: Eukaryota; Metazoa; Chordata; Mammalia; Rodentia; Sciuridae. The record is from RNAcentral.
ACAAAGAAUACUCAAACAUCACACAGGGUAACAACAACAACAACAACAACAAAAAAAAAAAACCAAAAAACAAAAAAACCCAAACUCUACAACUCCACAGCAGCAGUGGAAGUUCACUAGAAGAGCAGCUAAAAAAAAAAUCAAGAUUGAAUUAAAUAUAGCAAACAAACCAAAAUGGCAGGAAAUCCAAAAUGGCAGCAUUUAUCCAUGAUAAGAUUCAAUAUAAAUGUCUCAACUCCCCAAUUAAAAGACAUAGGCUGGCAGAACAGAUUAGGAAACAAUAUCCAGCUCUCUGCUGUUUAUAAGAGACUCAUUUCAUAGGCAAAGACACCCAUAGGCUGAAAGUAAAAGGGUGGAGAAAAUAUCCCAUGUGAAUGGAGUCCAGAACCAAGCAGAAACAGCUGUUCUCGUAUCUGACAAAUAGGUUUCAAGCAAAAACUAAUCAGAAGAGAGAAACAAGGCCACUGCAUACUGGUAAAGGGAAUAGAAGAAUCUAACAAGAAGAUAAAAUGAUAAUAAAUUAUCAUAUAAUAAAUACAUGCCCCAAAUGUUAGUGUACCUAAUUACAUAAAAUAUACUUCCUGACAUUAAAUACCAGGUAGACUCCUAUAUAACAAUAGUUUAACACACCCUACCACCAAUAAAUAGAUCAUCCAAGCAUAAAAUCAAGAUAUUUGUGACCUAAAUAACACUAUAAAUCAAAUGGACCUGACAUCUAUAGCAUAUUUCACCCCAAAACAGCUGAAUUUGCUAUCUUCUCAGCAACUCAUGAAACCUUUUCCAAAAUAGACCAUAUUCUAGGUCACAGUGGAAGUGUUGGACAAUAUUAAAAAAAAUUGUUAGAAUCCUGUAUAUCCUAUCAGAUUAUAAUGGAAAGAAACUAGAAUUAAAAGCAAGAAAAAUAAUAGAAACCACAUAAACACAUGGAGAUCACAUAAACACAUGAAGAUUGAAGAAUAUUCUUUUAAACGAGGAAUGGAUCAUAAAAGAAAGGAGAAGUCAAGAAAUUCUUAGAAACAAAUGAGACAGAAGUACAACAUGUCAAGAUCUCUGGGAUAGCAUGAAUGCAGUUCUAAGUAUAUAGCAUUGAGUGCCUACAUUCAAAACAGAGUGAUCAUCCCAAAUAAAUAAUCUAAUGCUUCACCUUAAGGACUUGGAAAAGGAAGCACAAACAAAUGCCAAAAUUAGUCAAAGACAGGAAAUAAUUAAGAUUGGACCCUAAUUUAAUGAAGUUGAGAAUAAAAGAGCAAUGUAAGGAUCAAAUCAACAGAAUUGAUUCUUUUAGAAGAUAGAUAUAAUUGAUAAACCCUCAAACAAACUAACCAAAAGAGAGAGAGAGAAGACCAAAUAAACAAAAUUAAAGAUGAAAAAAUGUCACCACAGACACUUCUAAAAUCUGAACAAUUAUUAGAAACCACUUUGAAAACUUCUAUGCCAAUAAACAGGAAAGUCUAGAAGACAUUGGCAAAUUUCCAGACAUGUAUGACUGGCCCAAAUUGAACCAGGAAGAUAUAGAAAAGCUAAACAGACCAAUAUCAAUGGAUGAAAUUGAAACAGCAAUUAAAAGCUUGCCAACAAAGAAAAGCCCAGGACCAGAUGACUUCUCAGCUGAAUUCUGCCAGACCUUUAAAGAAGAACUAUCACUGGUCUUUCUCAAAUUAUUCCAUGAAAUUGUAAGGAAGGGAAUACAUUC